GAUGAACGCUGGCGGCGUGCCUAAUACAUGCAAGUCGAGCGGCAGCACGGUCUUCGGACUGGUGGCGAGCGGCGGACGGCUGAGUAACGCGUAGGAAUAUACCCCAAAGUGAGGGAUAACUGCCCGAAAGGGUGGCUAAUACCGCAUGUGGUCUUCGGACUAAAGCCUUCGGGCGCUUUGGGAAUAGCCUGCGUAAGAUUAGCUAGUUGGUGAGGUAAUGGCUCACCAAGGCGACGAUCUUUAGCUGGUCUGAGAGGAUGACCAGCCAGACUGGAACUGAGACACGGUCCAGACUCCUACGGGAGGCAGCAGUAGGGAAUUUUCCACAAUGGGCGAAAGCCUGAUGGAGCAACGCCGCGUGCAGGAUGAAGGCCCUCGGGUCGUAAACUGCUUUUAUGUGCGAAGAAUAUGACGGUAACACAUGAAUAAAGGGUCGGCUAACUACGUGCCAGCAGCCGCGGUAAU
This 465-nucleotide ribosomal RNA is filed under the name uncultured bacterium. RNAcentral describes it as "bacterial SSU rRNA". It matches the Rfam family "Bacterial small subunit ribosomal RNA", at positions 28 to 524 of the family's 1533-position model. The record is from RNAcentral.